Molecule: ribosomal RNA, 381 nt
Filed under: uncultured bacterium
Lineage: Bacteria
Description: bacterial SSU rRNA
Rfam family: Bacterial small subunit ribosomal RNA
Source: RNAcentral
GACGAACGCUGGCGGCGUGCUUAACACAUGCAAGUCGAGCGGUAAGGCCCUUUCGGGGGUACACGAGCGGCGAAUGGGUGAGUAACACGUGGGUGACCUGCCCUCAGCUCUGGGAUAAGCCUGGGAAACCGGGUCUAAUACUGGAUAUGACUCCAUGACGCAUGUUGUGGGGUGGAAAGCCUUGUGCGGCUGAGGAUGGGCCCGCGGCCUAUCAGCUUGUUGGUGGGGNGAUGGCCUACCAAGGCGACGACGGGUAGCCGGCCUGAGAGGGCGACCGGCCACACUGGGACUGAGACACGGCCCAGACUCCUACGGGAGGCAGCAGUGGGGAAUCUUGCGCAAUGGGCGAAAGCCUGACGCAGCGACGCCGCGUGAGGGAUG